Molecule: unclassified non-coding RNA, 301 nt
Filed under: air metagenome
Description: partial contains small subunit ribosomal RNA, internal transcribed spacer 1, and 5.8S ribosomal RNA
Rfam family: Eukaryotic small subunit ribosomal RNA (bases 1-46)
Source: RNAcentral
AAGUCGUAACAAGGUUUCCGUAGGUGAACCUGCGGAAGGAUCAUUAUUGAAUAAACUUGGUUAGGUUGUUGCUGGCUCUUCGGAGCAUGUGCACGCCGACUCCAUCUUUAACCACCUGUGCACUUUGCGUAGAUCUGAACAUUUCGAGUACACUCGGUUUGAGAAUUGUUGUGCGUAAGCCAGCUCUUCUUGUAUUCAGGUCUAUGUUUUCACAUACCCCAUAUGAAUGUAUACGAAUGUUGCAAUUGGCCUUGUGCCUUUAAAACAAAUACAACUUUCAACAACGGAUCUCUUGGCUCUC